AAUCAACGCUGGCGGCGUGCCUAACACAUGCAAGUCGAACGCGAGAGGGGCUUCGGCCCCGAUUGAGUGGCGAACGGGUGAGUAACGCGUGGGUGACCUACCUUCGAGUGGGGGAUAACGUCCCGAAAGGGACACUAAUACCGCAUAACAUCCUGCUUUUGAAUGGGUGGGAGAUCAAAGCCGGGGAUCGCAAGACCUGGCGCUUGAUGAGGGGCCCGCGUCUGAUUAGCAGUUGGUGAGGUAACGGCCCACCAAGGCAACGAUCAGUAUCCGGCCUGAGAGGGCGGACGGACACACUGGGACUGAGGACACGGCCCAGACUCCUACGGGAGGCAGCAGUGGGGAAUUGUUCGCAAUGGGCGCAAGCCUGACGACGUAACGCCGCGUGGAGGAUGAAGGUCUUCGGAUUGUAAACUCCCUGUUGCCCGGGACGAAUGGCUCCGACCUAACACGUCGGAGUGUGACGGUACCGGGUGAGGAAGCCCGGCUAACUUCGUGCCAGCCGCCGCGGUAAU
Molecule: ribosomal RNA, 515 nt
Filed under: uncultured bacterium
Lineage: Bacteria
Description: bacterial SSU rRNA
Rfam family: Bacterial small subunit ribosomal RNA
Source: RNAcentral